RNAcentral lists this ribosomal RNA (715 nucleotides) under uncultured fungus. Its description in RNAcentral is "eukaryotic LSU rRNA". It matches the Rfam family "Eukaryotic large subunit ribosomal RNA", at positions 24 to 664 of the family's 3401-position model. Lineage: Eukaryota; Fungi. The record is from RNAcentral.
CCCGCUGAACUUAAGCAUAUCAAUAAGCGGAGGAAAAGAAACUAACAAGGAUUCCCCUAGUAACGGCGAGUGAAGCGGGAAUAGCUCAAAUUUGAAAUCUCACUGGUUUCCAGUGCGAAUUGUAGUUUAGAGAAGCGGUUUCUGGGCAGCACUUUGGUACAAGUUCUUUGGAACGAGACAUCAUAGAGGGUGAAAAUCCCGUCUUUGACCAGAGUUGUUGUUCUAUGUGAUACGUUUUCCAAGAGUCGGUUUGUUUGGGAAUGCAGACCAAAAUGGGUGGUAAAUACCAUCUAAAGCUAAAUAUUGGCGAGAGACCGAUAGCGAACAAGUACCGUGAGGGAAAGAUGAAAAGAACUUUGAAAAGAGAGUUAAAUAGUGCGUGAAAUUGUCUAAAGGGAAACGUUUGAAACCAGUAUUACUGGCUGGGACUCAGCUCUAGUUUACUAGGGUGUAUUUCUCAGUUGGUGAGUCAACAUCAGUUUGAUUUGUAGUAAAAAGCUGUGAGAAGAUAGCCAUUUCGGUGGUAUUAUAGAUUGCAGUCAUGCUAUGGAUUGGACUGAGGUCUGCAGCGUUAUUUGGAGAACUAGUCGCCUUUCGAAGUAGCAAGGUUAAAUGCAUGCAGAUGACUUUGUUUAUUAGGGAGCUCGGUUAGGUUAUCACACCAGCGCUUAGGAUGUUGACGAAAUGGUUUUAAGCGACCCGUCUUGAAACACGG